This is a long non-coding RNA of Pleuronectes platessa (European plaice), 1188 nucleotides long. RefSeq lists it as uncharacterized. The transcript is spliced from 4 exons. Lineage: Eukaryota; Metazoa; Chordata; Actinopteri; Pleuronectiformes; Pleuronectidae. The record is from RefSeq and is a predicted model, not a curated record.
GCCAACAUGUUAUUCUGUUCUUCCCACUCAGCACUUUGUUGCCCACCUCGGCACUUCUCAGGGACGCUCUAAUCGCGUAUUCCACCCUUCUCCAUCUGUGCUGCAUUGAACCGGAGCGGACUAGUGCACCCUUCCUAAGGAUAUCGCAGAUCUGGUUACUGCACAAGCACCACCACUCCCCUGCGCUGGAGAUCCCUGCGCUCGGCUCGCUGGGCCCCGGAGAUAAAGCCUCGGAGAGACACUUCGGUCCACAGUGCAUUGAGGAGCCAGAACGCUCUCAGGGGCCGUUGUUGUCAUGGAGGUCAGGAUGACAGACUGUGGGGGUCUUGUUGGAGCAGUGGCCACUGAUACAGCCGAUUAAAACCAGGUCUUGCAGGAGGUUGACACUGGAGAGCAGGCUCAAACAACUACAAGAGUGCCAGGAACUGAACCCAAAGGUGUUAAAGCUGAGAAGAGGAGCAGCAGAGGAACUGGGAGCAUAUGGUGCCGAUGCUUCUCUAUCCAUUGCCUGUAAUUAUCAGCUUCUUGUGCUGGACGUGCUGAGACACACAUCUAUAGAUGCCGAGAAGCGACUGGCCUAGUACGUGGUCCUUUACUGCCUCCAUCAGCCUUUCAUCAUCACUCUCACUGCACCAGUCCGGCUCGGUGUCUUUUCAGCGAUGGAUUUCUACCUGUAUCAAAGACACGCUGAUGACAGCCGCGCGGGAUGAGCCAAGACUUCUGGAGAGAAAGCGUUCGACCACAAUCAUGAGGACUUCAGUGAUGGAAAAAGCAUUACACCCCCCCCCCCCGUUGCUGUAAGAGCCAGCUGUAACUUUAACAGAUCACAGGCUGUAGGUCCUGAAGGCCCAGAACACAUAUUAUGUUUAUCAGCACAGUUACUAUCACAUGCCAGGCUCAUCCACCUGGGGAGGGACAGAAAAUAAAAGUUUAGGAGAAUGAGCCUCUGUGUGUGUGUACUUGUAUCUGUAUCUUUGUGAGGACCUUAAGGUUAUAGGGUCAGGUUAGAUUUAUUAUAAUGUUAGAUUAAGGUUAGGUUCAUGUUAAAGUGAGAGUUCACUGAAAAAGAAAAUUCGCCAAAAGUGUUACAAAACACUUUUGGAGUUUCCGGGCUAAACAGCGUUGCAGCCAAAUCCAAUACAAUUGAAUUGAAUGGUGACCAACUCUUCAAACAGAAAAAGCAACACA